GCUGGGCAUAGUAGCGCACACCUGUAAUCCCAGUAGCUCAGGAGGCGGAGACAGGAGGAUUGUGAGUUCAAAGCCAGCCUCAGCAACAGCAAGGCGCUAAGUAACUCGGUGAGACCCUGUCUCUA
Molecule: small RNA, 125 nt
Filed under: Marmota monax (woodchuck)
Lineage: Eukaryota; Metazoa; Chordata; Mammalia; Rodentia; Sciuridae
Source: RNAcentral